GCUGCAGCAUCUCACAGGGGCUGCUUGGUUCUCCUCCUCCUAUCCCAAGAAUAGAUGGGAUAAUCUUGGCAAAACAGUUGUGCUCCUUUUAAAUACACAAAUGAGUGGCAAGGCUUCCAGGUAAGAACAAAGUAUCCUUUUCUUCUAGAACAGGAAUUUCUAGCAGCUGAAGAUUUAGCAAAUGAGGCACAUUUUUCAGCAUCUUUAAAUGCCAAAUUAUUUCAUUUCCUUUCUUUGAUGGGUCUGUAAAUAAACAUUUCAAAGACUUAAUUCUAGAGCUGCUAGGGGGAAAGAUACUACGCUGCCUGGAGAAGUAUCUUUACCCUGGAAAUAGACCAACUUGAACAGGAAACUAUAGACAAAAGGACAAUGACAACCUUCAUUUUGGGAAUCAUCUGGAAAAGCUUAAAAAAGAUUCUGGCAAGAUAAGGAACAUAUCUUGUUGCCCUGUUUUCACUGGGAAGUGAAGAACUUAAGAUAUUAACAUCACCAACACUAAGGAAGGAGGUUGUCUAAAAGAUUACAGCUGAUCACCACCACCAUGGAGAAAGUUACAAUGAUGAUGCAUCUUCUCAUCCCUGAAUGGCCCCUUGUUACUCCUGGGGAGAUUAAUGAACUGGUUGGGCAACAAAGUUCUGGGAAAGCACCUGGAGGUGAUUUUGUCCCCAUUGAACUGAUCAUGUCUAAUCUGGCAUGGUGGGCUCCGGUAUUAGCAUCACUCUUUACAUCUAUUAAUCGGACUGCUUGUAUACCUCACGAUUGAGGCUUGUCUAUAAUGAUCCCGAUCUUUAAGAAAGGAAAUAAA
Long non-coding RNA from Hemicordylus capensis (graceful crag lizard), 805 nucleotides. RefSeq lists it as uncharacterized. NCBI's taxonomy places the organism in Eukaryota, Metazoa, Chordata, Lepidosauria, Squamata, Cordylidae. The transcript has 3 exons. The record is from RefSeq and is a predicted model, not a curated record.